Long non-coding RNA from Astatotilapia calliptera (eastern happy), 2153 nucleotides. NCBI's taxonomy places the organism in Eukaryota, Metazoa, Chordata, Actinopteri, Cichliformes, Cichlidae. The record is from Ensembl.
AUUAGAAUAAGGAUCUAAGCGUGACGAGUUUGGAACUUUAAUCUUUUUAGAGUGUAGAAAAUAUGAAUGGGAGAGGCAGGACAAAAAGGUACACACAGAAAAUGAACAGAGAUCCACACAGAAGGGAGGCAAUCCUAACAGGACAGCCAAAGGAAAACAAAAUUUACUUAAAAAUAUCACUUCUCGCAUAUCUUGAUCAAUUUAGUUUCAUACCAAGUGACUGAAUGACUGCCUGUUAUUAAGAACAAAGAAAGGAACUGUUGUUGCUUUGGUUACCUUAAAAUAUUUGACACUAUUUGAACUUGUAAAUAGUUGAUGACAUUUCAUUCACAAUAGACUGAUUCCAUUCAAAUUUGAACUUGACAUUUCACAAAUUUAAUGAGAAUUACCACAAAGACACAGCUACUAAAAGGGAAACAAAAUAACUACAAAGAAAUGUAAAAUAAGUAGAAAGAAACACAAGUUAAGUAGAGAUAGACACUAAACAACUACACAAUGACACAGGACUUCAAAAUGAUUAAUUUAAUUACAAAGAGUUAAUUACAAAGAGAUAUACAAUGAGAAGGAACAAGCAGAAAUAACUAUAAAGAGUAACCAAAUGACUGCUAAGAGACACAACACUAUGACAAGAAACAAAAGACACAGAAUAACUCCAGUUAAACGUUAACUACAAAGAGUACUAAAAUACACAAAACUAAUAAAAAGAGGUAGAAAAACACAACAAAAAUACAUGCAGUGAGACUUAAAAUGACCAGAAAGACACAAAAAACAUGGAAAAUGAUGACAAGUGGGGAAAAAAGCACCACCUUCUAUCUCAGCUGAAUACUGAAGGUUAACUUCAGUAUUUUCAACCAGCAGCAGGACAUGAAUGUAUCAGUCGUGGUCUUUUGAACCUGUAAAGAAGGGUGUGUUCUGUGGCUCAAUGCCUCGUAAUUUUUCCAUUGCUAUAAACUAUCUGGUUUACACAACAAAGAGCAAGGUGAUUGGUUUAAAUUGGUUAUUAGGCACUCAUUUAUUACACUGCACAGAUAAAUACGACCUUUUGUGUAUCUUUACACAAUUUUACUCAUUUGAGAAAUUAAACCCAUUUGAUUUAAUAGUGCCCCAGUUGUUUUUUAGUUAACCCUGUUAAAACCAUGUUUAGAUGUUAUACAGUUCAGUACACAAUAACCACCCAUUACAUUCAUUUAGAUGACAAAAGCUGAAAAUGUAGAAGCUUUAUUGAAUCAGAAUUGAUAGCAGAGGUGUUUUACUGGACUGCAUUUCAUUUCAUAAUGUGCAUAAUAAAGUAAAUGUCACAUUAUUCCAAGGCUCAGUGUCUCUGCGUACUUCUGGUAACAUAACAUAAUAGCAGGGUUGUAGUUUUGGAUGGAUGCAGAAAGGUCAAGCCCUAAAUCCUACAGUUACAGUGCAAUAUGUUCUGGGUUAUUUCUGGUCAACUGACCUACAAUUUCCUACAACCGCUAAAACCAGUACAUGCUAUUGCUAAGGAUGUUUUGCAAUAAGAGAAUAUUCUUUUACAAGUGGCACAGGGGCUAUUCUGUUACAAAGCAUGCGUUUUUUAACCUAUACUGAGGUCAAGGUACAGUUUACCAAAAAAAUGUUCACAACAAAAUAAUAUCUGAGUCUAUGAUUCUUUAAUUGAGGUAUUUAUAGAGCAAAUCACACAGUAUUAAAGUAUUUUGAACAUGUAUUUUAAGAACUGCAUUUACCCCAUUUAAACAUACUUACUUAAUUAACUGCCUAACAGUAACAAUCAGUUUGAAGAUGAAAUCUUGUAUUUAAAAGUUUGGUAACAGUUGUGUGUAGUUAAACAUUUUAGGGGCUAGAUUGUGUGGGAUUAGGGUAGAGAGUUAAUGUGAUGGUUUCAACAUUUACAGUAAAUGAUUACAGUGCUAACAGCUGUACUUUAAAAUACUGACAGGACCAUUUGAAAUAUAUGGAUUUACAGAGGAAAAUUGGGUUAUGUAUGGCUUAAGAGGGCUUUAUAUUUUCAUGCAUGUUGUCAUUGUGAUAGCCUUUUAGCACAGAGCUAAUAGUUUUACUACCAUGAAAUAAGUUUAUCCACACUAUUUACAUGGUGAUGUUACAUUUGCAACCCAAAUGGCUGUACUUAAGAUUAGCUUUUGUAAAACAACAAAGGGCCAAAUGCA